RNAcentral lists this transfer RNA (71 nucleotides) under Camelus bactrianus (Bactrian camel). It matches the Rfam family "tRNA". From Rfam's summary of the family: Transfer RNA (tRNA) molecules are approximately 80 nucleotides in length. RNAcentral also lists the same sequence under 2 other names. The record is from Rfam by way of RNAcentral. Lineage: Eukaryota; Metazoa; Chordata; Mammalia; Artiodactyla; Camelidae.
GAUGGUAUAGCUCGGUGGUAGAGUGCACGUGUGCAUGCAUGAGGUCCUGGGUUCAAUCCCCGGUACCUCCA